GGGGGUCACCGGGCAAAUUUUUUCAAGGCAUUCAAAUGGAUAAAACCAGAGGAUUCUGAAAAUCUGACAAAAAAUCCAAAACCUGACAAGCCAGCUUCCUUAACAGCUGUAUCAUGAUACGUGAUAUAUCUGUAAUUUUCCGAAUUUUUGAUCGAUAGUGAACCGUUUCAGUAUUUUUCUUUAAUUUUUUUUCGUGUAGCCGUCCGUCUCAGUGUUAUUCAGUUUUUGUACGAGAACACAUAUUACAAUAUUCAAAUUUAUUUAGGGGCUCAAUUAAGCAGAGGAAGUUCCCUUUUUUUUUGGAAUCUUUUAUGAUAUCGGAAAUUCGUUACCGGCUGAAUCAGCUGUUGGAUCAUUUUUGUUAUUGUCUCCCGAUCUUACGAGAGUAUUAUGUUCAAUACUUUAGUAGAUAAACACUCCCAUUCGUUGUAGCAAGAACUUUCUAUACUAAGUAUAUACUAUUAUAGAA
Molecule: long non-coding RNA, 469 nt
Filed under: Mytilus galloprovincialis (Mediterranean mussel)
Lineage: Eukaryota; Metazoa; Mollusca; Bivalvia; Mytilida; Mytilidae
Source: RNAcentral